This 253-nucleotide ribosomal RNA is filed under the name uncultured bacterium. RNAcentral's name for it is "partial 16S ribosomal RNA". It matches the Rfam family "Bacterial small subunit ribosomal RNA", at positions 524 to 776 of the family's 1533-position model. The record is from RNAcentral.
UACGGGGGGGGCAAGCGUUGUUCGGAAUUACUGGGCGUAAAGGGCUCGUAGGUGGCCAACUAAGUCAGACGUGAAAUCCCUCAGCUUAACUGGGGAAUUGCGUCUGAUACUGGAUGGCUUGAGUUUGGGAGAGGGACGCGGAAUUCCAGGUGUAGCGGUGAAAUGCGUAGAUAUCUGGAGGAACACCGGUGGCGAAGGCGGCGUCCUGGACCAACACUGACACUGAUGAGCGAAAGCCAGGGGAGCAAACGGG